CUGCACAACUUCCAUCUUGACAACCAGGUUGAUGACGACAUUGUUUGGAAACAUGUUGUAGAUGGGAUAUACUCGGCGGCCACCGCAUAUAAGGCGCAAUUCCUUGGUCUGACACACUUGCCCAUUCACUACAUGGUUUGGAAAGUUUGGGCUCCCCAAAAGGUAAAAUUCUUCGCUUGGCUGGCCUUGCAAGACCUGAUUUGGAUUGCAGACCGGUUGGAGCGGCGCGGUUGGGAAAAUUGUGGGCUUUACCCUCUUUGCAAAAGGGGGCAAGAAACAGGCAUCCACCUUUUCGUCAAGUGA
RNAcentral lists this ribosomal RNA (303 nucleotides) under Triticum aestivum (bread wheat). RNAcentral's name for it is "partial small subunit ribosomal RNA". The record is from RNAcentral. Lineage: Eukaryota; Viridiplantae; Streptophyta; Magnoliopsida; Poales; Poaceae.